Molecule: long non-coding RNA, 485 nt
Filed under: Chelydra serpentina (North American snapping turtle)
Lineage: Eukaryota; Metazoa; Chordata; Testudines; Chelydridae
Description: lncRNA (ENSCSRG00000002097.1)
Source: RNAcentral
AGAGAAUAUUGAAGAGGAAGAGGAAGAAGUUCGUGAGGCUAUGACCAGGGCUAGAGCUCACAGAUCUCAUGAGGCUGCUCUUGCCUCUGGCUCUAAUGAUGAUGAUCUCAUGGAUGUGGGACUGUCAGAACAAAAAACCAAUGAUGAUUCAGAUGCUUGCACCUCUGUAUCAUUCAGCAGAGGACGAGGUCGAGCAAGGGGUCAGGCAAGAGGUGGAAGAGGGCAAAUCUCAACAUCAAGAGGAGCCUCUCGAAGAGGAAGAGGAAACACUAGCCAAGAACAGUCUAAUAGCAGUAGAAGUUACAAGCCUAUGUCUACUCCUACCAAGAAUAUGUCUAUCCUAGAUGGUAUGUUCAGAAUAGUGUGUUGGUUUCACAUGCCCUCUAAAAUUGCUAUCACUUUGCAGAAUGCCAUAAUGAAGUUAAGAAGUUUAUGAUGCAACCUUUAUUUCCAGUAGAUAAAAUUCAACCAUCACAUGGAGCUUU